Molecule: unclassified non-coding RNA, 313 nt
Filed under: plant metagenome
Description: partial contains 5.8S ribosomal RNA, internal transcribed spacer 2, and large subunit ribosomal RNA
Rfam family: 5.8S ribosomal RNA (bases 1-104)
Source: RNAcentral
GAAAUGCGAUAAUUAAUGUGAAUUGCAGAAUUCAGUGAAUCAUCGAGUCUUUGAACGCACAUUGCGCCCCCUGGUAUUCCGGGGUCAUGCCUGUCCGAGCGUCAUUGCUGCCCUCAAGCACGGCUUGUGUGUUGGGCUUCCGUCCCUGGCAACGGGGACGGGCCCAAAAGGCAGUGGCGGCACCAUGUCUGGUCCUCGAGCGUAUGGGGCUUUGUCACCCGCUCCCGUAGGUCCAGCUGGCAGCUAGCCUCGCAACCAAUCUUUUUAACCAGGUUGACCUCGGAUCAGGUAGGGAUACCCGCUGAACUUAAGC